This is a non-coding RNA of Mycena epipterygia, 92 nucleotides long. Lineage: Eukaryota; Fungi; Basidiomycota; Agaricomycetes; Agaricales; Mycenaceae. The record is from the annotation of a GenBank genome assembly.
GACUCGGUGGCGGAUGGUCCGCGUCUGCAAUGAUUAGGCUUUAAUCCGUACUGCAUUCGCAGAUGACGCUCGUUCGAUUUGGGCCCGAGUCA